RNAcentral lists this unclassified non-coding RNA (251 nucleotides) under uncultured Podospora. Its description in RNAcentral is "sequence contains 5.8S rRNA gene". The stretch from base 1 to 53 matches the Rfam family "5.8S ribosomal RNA", at positions 102 to 154 of the family's 154-position model. The record is from RNAcentral. Lineage: Eukaryota; Fungi; Ascomycota; Sordariomycetes; Sordariales; Lasiosphaeriaceae.
GAACGCACAUUGCGCCCGCCAGUAUUCUGGCGGGCAUGCCUGUCCGAGCGUCAUUUCAACCCAUCAAGCCUAGCGCUUGUGUUGGAGCCCUGCGGCCGCCGCAGCCUCCUAAAAUCAGUGGCGGGCUCGCUAUCACACUGAGUGCAGUAGUAUUCUUCUCACUCCUGUUGUGUAGCGGGUAACCAGCCGUAAAAACCCCCCAUAUUCAAAGGUUGACCUCGGAUCAGGUAGGAAUACCCGCUGAACUUAAG